UACGUAGGUGACUAGCGUUGUCCGGAUUUACUGGGCGUAAAGAGCGCGCAGGCGGUCGUUCAAGUCGAGUGUGAAAGCCCCCGGCUCAACUGGGGAAGGUCAUUCGAUACUGAUCGACUCGAAGGCAGGAGAGGGAAGCGGAAUUCCCGGUGUAGUGGUGAAAUGCGUAGAUAUCGGGAGGAACACCAGUGGCGAAGGCGGCUUCCUGGCCUGUUCUUGACGCUGAGGCGCGAAAGCUAGGGGAGCAAACGGG
RNAcentral lists this ribosomal RNA (253 nucleotides) under uncultured bacterium. Its description in RNAcentral is "partial 16S ribosomal RNA". It matches the Rfam family "Bacterial small subunit ribosomal RNA", at positions 524 to 776 of the family's 1533-position model. The record is from RNAcentral.